UGGGGAAUCUUCCGCAAUGGACGAAAGUCUGACGGAGCAACGCCGCGUGAGUGAAGACGGCCUUCGGGUUGUAAAGCUCUGUGAUCCGGGACGAAAGAGCCUGAGGUAAAUAGCCUAAGGAAGUGACGGUACCGGAAAAGCAAGCCACGGCUAACUACGUGCCAGCAGCCGCGGUAAUACGUAGGUGGCAAGCGUUGUCCGGAAUUAUUGGGCGUAAAGCGCGCGCAGGCGGCUUACUAAGUCCAUCUUAAAAGUGCGGGGCUUAACCCCGUGAUGGGAUGGAAACUGGAAAGCUGGAGUAUCGGAGAGGAAAGUGGAAUUCCUAGUGUAGCGGUGAAAUGCGUAGAGAUUAGGAAGAACACCGGUGGCGAAGGCGACUGUCUGGACGAAAACUGACGCUGAGGCGCGAAAGCGUGGGGAGCAAACAGG
RNAcentral lists this ribosomal RNA (429 nucleotides) under Fusobacteriota bacterium. Its description in RNAcentral is "Fusobacteria bacterium partial 16S ribosomal RNA". It matches the Rfam family "Bacterial small subunit ribosomal RNA", at positions 355 to 776 of the family's 1533-position model. Lineage: Bacteria; Fusobacteriati; Fusobacteriota. The record is from RNAcentral.